Molecule: ribosomal RNA, 226 nt
Filed under: uncultured bacterium
Lineage: Bacteria
Description: partial 16S ribosomal RNA
Rfam family: Bacterial small subunit ribosomal RNA
Source: RNAcentral
AGUAACGCGUGAGGAACCUGCCUCAAAGAGGGGGCAACAGUUGGAAACGACUGCUAAUACCGCAUAAGCCCACGGCUCGGCAUCGAGCAGAGGGAAAAGGAGCAAUCCGCUUUGAGAUGGCCUCGCGUCCGAUUAGCUAGUUGGUGAGGUAAUGGCCCACCAAGGCGACGAUCGGUAGCCGGACUGAGAGGUUGAACGGCCACAUUGGGACUGAGACACGGCCCAG